CAUCCUCCAAGGCUAAAUACUCCUGACUGACCGAUAGUGAACCAGUACCGUGAGGGAAAGGCGAAAAGAACCCCGGCGAGGGGAGUGAAAAAGAACCUGAAACCGUGUACGUACAAGCAGUGGGAGCACAGGUUUACCUGUGUGACUGCGUACCUUUUGUAUAAUGGGUCAGCGACUUAUAUUCUGUAGCAAGGUUAACCGUAUAGGGGAGCCGCAGGGAAACCGAGUCUUAACCGGGCGUUAAGUUGCAGGGUAUAGACCCGAAACCCGGUGAUCUAGCCAUGGGCAGGUUGAAGGUUGGGUAACACUAACUGGAGGACCGAACCGACUAAUGUUGAAAAAUUAGCGGAUGACCUGUGGCUGGGGGUGAAAGGCCAAUCAAACCGGGAGAUAGCUGGUUCUCCCCGAAAGCUAUUUAGGUAGCGCCUCGUGAAUUCAUCUCCGGGGGUAGAGCACUGUUUCGGCUAGGGGGCCAUCCCGGCUUACCAACCCGAUGCAAACUGCGAAUACCGGAGAAUGUUAUCACGGGAGACACACGGCGGGUGCUAACGUCCGUCGUGAAGAGGGAAACAACCCAGACCGCCAGCUAAGGUCCCAAAGUCAUGGUUAAGUGGGAAACGAUGUGGGAAGGCCCAGACAGCCAGGAUGUUGGCUUAGAAGCAGCCAUCAUUUAAAGAAAGCGUAAUAGCUCACUGGUCGAGUCGGCCUGCGCGGAAGAUGUAACGGGGCUAAACCAUGCACCGAAGCUGCGGCAGCGACGCUGAUGCGUUGUUGGGUAGGGGAGCGUUCUGUAAGCCUGUGAAGGUGGCCUGUGAGGGUUGCUGGAGGUAUCAGAAGUGCGAAUGCUGACAUAAGUAACGAUAAAGCGGGUGAAAAGCCCGCUCGCCGGAAGACCAAGGGUUCCUGUCCAACGUUAAUCGGGGCAGGGUGAGUCGACCCCUAAGGCGAGGCCGAAAGGCGUAGUCGAUGGGAAACGGGUUAAUAUUCCCGUA
Molecule: ribosomal RNA, 992 nt
Filed under: Salmonella enterica
Lineage: Bacteria; Pseudomonadati; Pseudomonadota; Gammaproteobacteria; Enterobacterales; Enterobacteriaceae
Description: bacterial LSU rRNA
Rfam family: Bacterial large subunit ribosomal RNA
Source: RNAcentral